Molecule: long non-coding RNA, 228 nt
Organism: Rhodamnia argentea
Lineage: Eukaryota; Viridiplantae; Streptophyta; Magnoliopsida; Myrtales; Myrtaceae
Exons: 2
Source: RefSeq, a predicted model, not a curated record
CAAGUAUUCACGCGUCUUCACUGCCAUCCAUCAUUUGGAUGAUAUUUGAAGUGGUUAAACGAUAUGUAAAGUAUGGCUCACUUCAUCACCGCGGGCAUCAUUCACCACAGAGAGUUUGUCAAAGUUGAGUUUCUUUGUCUUGCCUUUGCCAACCGUAUCAAAGCUAAAACCCAUUGUGUCAUCUUCCGCCACAGACGACGGUUUCCUGGAGGUAAGGAACUCCUCUCC